This 267-nucleotide ribosomal RNA is filed under the name uncultured prokaryote. RNAcentral describes it as "partial 16S ribosomal RNA". It matches the Rfam family "Bacterial small subunit ribosomal RNA", at positions 524 to 792 of the family's 1533-position model. The record is from RNAcentral.
UACGUAGGGACGAGCGUUGUCCGGAAUUACUGGGCGUAAAGGGCGCGCAGGCUGCGUUACAAGUCAGCUGUUAAAUGCAUGGGCUUACCCCAUGAGUGCGGUUGAAACUGUAGUGCUAGAGUACUGUAGAGGCAAGCGGAAUUCCCAGUGUAGCGGUGAAAUGCGUAGAUAUUGGGAGGAACACCGGUGGCGUAGGCGGCUUGCUGGACAGUAACUGACGCUGAGGCGCGAAAGCCAGGGGAGCAAACGGGAUUAGAUACCCGGGUA